AAUUUUUGUAGUGAGGAUAUUUAAAAAAUCACCCAAUCCGCUACUUGUAGUUCAAUCUGAUAACCUAGAUCCUUCUGUUCUGAUCUCUCUGAUGAUCGGGGACCAACUCUAUCUCUUCUUUCUCUGCAACAAUCAACUACCAACUACCGACCAACUGCUGAUACAGACGGCCGAUCCCCUUUUUAAACUCUGCCGAGCCCAGAACCGAAAACAUGACAUUUCAUCCAAAUUCUUGGACCAUCGCACUUUCGGGCUAUUGUUUAUUAUUUUCUACUCCAGGUGGGAUCCACUACGUUAGUCUU
This 302-nucleotide long non-coding RNA is filed under the name Androctonus crassicauda. Lineage: Eukaryota; Metazoa; Arthropoda; Arachnida; Scorpiones; Buthidae. The record is from RNAcentral.